RNAcentral lists this ribosomal RNA (293 nucleotides) under Gallotia galloti (Gallot's lizard). Its description in RNAcentral is "partial 12S ribosomal RNA". It matches the Rfam family "Bacterial small subunit ribosomal RNA", at positions 892 to 1349 of the family's 1533-position model. The record is from RNAcentral. Lineage: Eukaryota; Metazoa; Chordata; Lepidosauria; Squamata; Lacertidae.
ACUUAAAACUCAAAGGACUUGGCGGUGUCCCACAUUCGACCUAGAGGAGCCUGUCCUAUAAUCGAUACUCCCCGCUCUACCUCACCAGCACUAGCACCAACUUCAGCCUAUAUACCGCCGUCGACAGCUUACCCCCUGAGGGUUUAACAGUAAGCACAACAGUCCUACCACUAACACGUCAGGUCAAGGUGUAGCUAAUGUGCUGGCAGAGAUUGGCUACAUUUUUUAUUUUAAAAAACACGAAAUGCUAUAUGAAAAACAGCAUGAAGGCGAAUUUAGUAGUAAAACAGACA